CGUGUUGCUUUUCAUCAUGCCAUCAUGUGCAUUGCAUCAUCAUGUUUUUGAAACUUGCAUCCGUCCCGGCCUCCUCGUUCUCUCCUUUGUCCGUUCUGAGCCCAAAUACACUUGCACGCGCCCGCAGCACGUCCGAAUAUUAUUUUUAUAGGUGGCCGGAUAAUGUUCUCGGAAUGGGAUGAGAGUUGGCGUGCGGUGUUGUUUUAUUGUUAGUAGACCGCCUGCCAAGUUUCAUCGCGUUCAGAGUCCGUUUGACGCCCUAACUAUAGCGACAUUAUAGUCGGUCAAAACGUUAGACGUUUUCGGUCUUCGGAAACAGUCGCCAGGCCUCUCCUCUUCUCUCUUCUCAGCCCUCUGCCUUCUGCACUAACUCUCACCGCCAGGCCCUACCUAACCUCUCUCGUCUGCCCGCGGACCUCCUCCCGCGCGCGUCCGAAAUCUGUCCCGGACCCGACUCGGACAGUCGUUACCGCUGUGUCCGGAUCAUCCCCAAACAUAUCUAACAUAUCUUCGGUUAUUUGUUUGGUCCAUCUAACCUAUUUUAUCUCGAUCAUCCAAUUUUAAUCGGAUGAUCCAAACUCCCCUCUUCUCUCUAUAUAUAGUCCACCUACAUACCAAAUAUGGCUAAACCAAACCCUAGCCUAGCUCCUACCCCUACCCCGCAGCCGCCGCGACUCUCUCCUCGGAAUCCGCAUGCGCCCAGUCCCCUGCUUCCACUUGGCCAGAUCCACCAGCCAACCCCCACUCGAUCUGGACCGUCAGAUCUCAGAUCCGACGGCCCAGAGAGCCUUCCGCAGCCCCGCAGUUCCACCCAUCGCCCGCAACCCCGAGCGCCUCCUCGCCUAGCAUCUCACCGUCGCUGGAGACCGGCGACCUCCUGUGCUGGACGACCGGUGCCCGACCUCGGCGGAGCUCUACCGGAACCACCACUGCCAGGCCGCCCCCUGCCCUUCCCUUUUUCCUCUCUGUCUCCCUCUCAUCUCACGAUCUCUCUUUCUCUCUUUCUCUGUACAGGAGCGCCAUGGCACUGCCGCUUUGACCUCCAUCGACCGCUGCCGUCUCGUUCGACCACCUCCCUCGUCGACUCUGGACGUGCCCACGGAUCCGGUCAUCUGCAGGCCAUCUCCGACGCCGCCUCGCCGGAGUCCCGUCAGGAGCACCACGCCAGAGCCUGCAGGUUCUUCUCCGAGCUCCUGCCGCCCUCAUUCCACGCGCCUCUGGCCGGAUUGGACGCCCCAAGCCCGGAUCCCGCCGUCCUGGACCACCUUGAUUCGCCUUGGUCUACCGCCGCUGCCCAUCGCGCCGCCCUUCUGCAAGUCCCGCUGCCGGUCAAGCCCCUGCAUCGAGCUCUUCUUCCUCUGCAACGAGCAGAGCGCAGCCGCUCGCCCCGUUGACCGCGCCUCGCUCAAGACCGCGCCUGGGCUGCCUUCCCUCGAUCACCAGAGGCCCAGCCUGCCUCCCCUUCGCUAGCUCAGCCCAGCCGCAAGCCAGCGCCAGGCCUCCCUCCUCCCACCGAAUGGGCCUUGGCCCAUGGUGAGGCCAACCCCAUUGCGCCCUCCUUUUUUUCUGUUCUUUUUUUCCACAGUUGGGUCAGAUCUCAGAUUCGGCCCAUAUCCUUUUUUUCCUGCCUCUGCGUUUUUAGUAUUUUUCCAGAGACAGCAGAAUUGCAGUAAAGCCCUCAAACUUCAUGCAUUUUAUUACUCGCAAACAGUGCAUCAUAUUAAAACAAACUUAAUACGAAAAUGCUUAGAAUUUCAUCUAGUUUAAUAAUAUGCCACUUUCAUCCAUGUUUAAAAUGUCUAAAAUGAUGUUUGUUUAAAUUUGCUCAUAUAGCUUGUUAAAAUGCUUUAAUUCAUAACUAUUUAACCGUAACUCGGAAUUUAAUAAUCUUUAUAUGUAAAUGGGGUGGAAAAAUGCCUGGUUUAACAUGGUCUACUUGCUUUGCAUGUUUAACAUCUAAAAAAAUUGGUUUAGGGCAGAACAGUACCAAACCUAAUAUAUGGAUGGGGUUUUACCGGAAUUGUUGUUCGUUGUUUCCGGCCUCAUUUAAACUUGCCUAGAUAGGUAGUUUUGUUGUGCUUCACCCCUUGCCAUGCUAACCAACAUUUAAUUUUGUUGAGUACAUAAACGAGAGAGAACUAAAUAAGGCAUGUGGUGCUCCGUCAAUAUGCAACCCGUUGCAUAUUGAGCUCCACUUAACUUGUAGUGUUGUUUGUGCACUUUGCCAUGCCAUGCUUCAUUAAACCGGACAUGCAUCAUAAUUGUUUGUGCAUCAUGCCAUGCUUAUGUGGUGGUUGUUUACCAUGAUUGUUUGCUUCUUUCCGGUGUGGCUUCUUCGGGUUGGUUCCGAUAACGUCGCGUUUGUGAGGAACCGUUCGACUACGUCAGUUUGUCUUCUUCAUGGACUCGUUCUUCUUCCUUGCGGGAUUUCAGGCAAGAUGAUCAUACCCUCGAAAUCACUUCUAUCUUUGCUUGCUAGUUGCUCGCUCUUUUGCUAUGCCUAUACUGCGAUACCUACCACUUGCUUAUCAUGCCUCCCAUAUUGUUGAACCAAGCCUCUAACCCACCUUGUCCUAGCAAACCGUUGUUUGGCUAUGUUACUGCUCUGCUCAGCCCCUCUUAUAGUGUUGUUAGUUGCAGGUGAAGAUUGAAGUUUGUUCCUUGUUGGAACAUGGAGAUGUUGUUCCUUGUUGGAACAUGUAGAUGUUGUUCCUUGCUGGAACAUGUUUACUUAUUGGGAUAUCACAAUAUCUCUUAUUUAAUUAAUGCAUCUAUAUACUUAGUAAAGGGUGGAAGGCUCGGCCUUAUGCCUGGUGUUUUGUUCCACUCUCGCCGCCCUAGUUUCCAUCAUAUCGGUGUUAUGUUCCCGGAUUUUGCGUUCCUUACGCGGUUGGGUUAUAAUGGGAACCCCUUGACAGUUCGCCUUGAAUAAAACUCCUCCAGCAAUGCCCAACAUUGGUUUUACCAUUCGCCACCUAGCCUUUUUUUCCCUUGGGUUCUACAGACUCAAGGGUCAUCUUUAUUUAAACCACCCUCGGGCCAGUGCUCCUCUGAGUGUUGGUCCAAACAGAGCCACUUGCAGCGCCACCUCGGGGAAACUCGAGGUUUGGUUUUAGUUGUACGUAGUGUUCAUCUGAGUGUGCCCUGAGAACGAGAUAUGUGCAGCUCCUAUCGGGAUUUGUCGGCACAUUCGGGCGGUGUUGCUGGACUUGUUUUACCUUGUCGAAAUGUCUUGUAACCGGGAUUCCGAGUCUGAUCGGGUCUUCCCGCUAGAAGGAAUAUCCUUCGUUGAUCAUGAGAGCUUGUGAUGGGCUAAGUUGGGACUCCCCUGCAGGGAUUUGAACUUUCGAAAGCCGUGCCCGUGGUUAUGGGCAGAUGAGAAUUUGUUAAUAUCCGGUUGUAGAAAACCUGAAGUUGACCUUAAUUAAAAUGCAUCAACCGCGUGUGUAACCGUGAUGGUCUCUUCUCGGCGGAGUCCGGGAAGUGAACACGGUGUUGGGGUAAUGCUUGACGUAGGUUGUUCUAGGAUCACUUCUUGAUCAUAGAUUCUCGACCGUGCUUUUGCCUUCUCUUCUCGCUCUCAUUUGCGUAUGUUAGCCACCAUAUAUGCUAGUCGCUUGCUGCAGCUCCACCUCAUACCUUUUACCUUACCUAUAAGCUUAAAUAGUCUUGAUCGCGAGGGUGCGAGAUUGCUGAGUCCCCGUGACUCAGUUACAUCCAAAACCAGCUUGCAGGUGCCGAUGAGUCCGUGCAGAUGACGCAACCAAGCUCAAGGAGGAGCUCGAUGAAGCUCUUGUCCUUUGUGUUGUUUCGUUCUAGUUGAUCAGUAGUGAAGCCGAGUUGGGGUCGAUUGGGGACCUUGUCGCAUUUGGGGUUCUUCUUUUAUUUUGGUUCCGUAGUCGGACCUUGAUUGUAUUUGGAUGAUGUAAUGCUUUAUUCAUGUAAUUGUGUGAAGUGGCGAUUGUAAGCCAACUAUGUAUCUUUCCCCCUAUUGUAUUAUAUGGGUUGUUUGCGAAGAUUACCUCACUUGUGACAUUGCUUUCAAUGCGGUUAUGCCUCUAAGUCGUGCUUCGACACGUAGGAGAUAUAGCCGCAUCGAGGGUGUUACAAGUUGGUAUCAGAGCAUUCCCCGACCUUAGGAGCCCCAUUGCUUGAUCGAAUUAGCUGACGUUGUUGAGUCUAGAAAAAAUGUUUUGAGUCAUUUAGGAUUAUAUAUAUCGUAGAGUUAGGACUUCUUUUUACUCCUCAGUCCAUUCAUCGCUCUGGUAAGGCAUCCUGACGUAGAGUUUUGACUCUUCUCUUCUCAAAUUUCACUAAAAAAAUUAGGAUCACGCGGGUAUCUUGGAAUCGUUACGAUGGUUUUAUGACGAAAACAUUGUUCUUGGUGCCUCCUGUCAUUUAGGGGUUGUGGCGGUGUCCCGGGGAGUUGAGCUCCGAGGUGUUGUCGUCACAAUUUUAUCGUUGCAGUUCUGGAAUACUUGAGUUUAGUUUCGCCGACAUCGAAAAUCUUUUUUAUGCAGUUGUUGGUGAGAUAACCUCGACGCCACCCAGUACUGGGGCGGGAGUUCGGAAGUAUUGCCAUAACUUGUAUAACGGAUGCUUUUCGAAGGUUGAGGUAGACGAUUUCCGAAGUUUUUCUUGGUUAUGUGUUGAAGGAUGGAUACAGCUGGAUGUAGGAUUUGCUAGUUUUGGGUGAGAUAUCAUGCUUCCCCUGUAUCCCCAACACCUGAUUGCAUAACCGGAAAGUUUCGGGAGUUUGUAAGUGGGAAUUCAAGUAACUCUUAAGAUAUCUUUCCGACAGAUGUAUGAUAUGAAAUUGGGGUUCGACGUCUAGUGGUCCGCCUAUCCACGGUUGGUUUUACAGUGGUCUCGUUGUGUCUUAAAGAGUCCUUGGCUAUGCCGACUCGGGGACGCUUCUUAUGUCAUGUGCACUGCCUUAUACAUGAUGGUGUUGUACGAUCGAGCCCGUGUAGGCCUCACCACGAAAACUUCGAACGAAAUCUCUAUCAUAUGUUUGUUCCGGCUUAUUCUGCAAGACAAUCCUUUGUUUUGUUUUGAGUUGUGGUAUUCGAGUUGCUUCGAAGUCAUAUGUUGAUUCCAUACUUUUCCUAAACGGUGUUCUUAUACUCCUAUGUGAAUGCAAUCCUUCUCGAUCAUCGAGAUAGUUAUGUCAAUUCUUUUUCCAACCGUGUUUUCUCUUCAAGUGGAUCCGAUCAUUUCAACAUCAGUAAGAUCAAUUAUCAUUUCUUCUCAACGGUGUUUGUUUCAUCUAUCCCAAGUUGUCUUUGUUUUCCCACCCUCCCUCCCCUUGUUUCUUCAAGGACUCUCUUCUUCAAGUAUCCAUUUUAUUGAUGGGAAGUCUCUCCAUGUUUUUCGUCAAUGUUCUUAUUCGGUGAUUCUCAUGAAGAUUUUAAUGGAGUUUCAAGUUCAUCAUUCUUCGUUCUUUUCUUCUCCGGUGGUUUCAAGUCAAGCUUUGUUGAUCAUACCCUUUCCUCAUGUCAAUGCUUUCUCAUGCCGGUGCAAUUCUUAAUCAUUCACUUCUCGUUAUUCAAUUGUUCUAGAGUGCUCAAGAUAUUUCGAAGAUUCAUGUUACGACACUGCUUUCGUUCAAACUCUUUCGAGAAUGUUAUAUCAUUUAAGCCUUUUAAUUCAACCGGUGCAAUCUCUCUUUUCAAAUAAUCGUUCAACGGUGUAUCUUUUGAAUGGGCCCUAACCCACAGGUCUUUUCCCAGGAUUUUACCUGACUCUUCUAUUUUCCCGGAGCUAUCCUAAUUUUUUUUUAAGUUUGACGUAAGAAUGAGUUAUCAUCAAUCAAAUGCCUUCUCCAAGAUCGUUUUCAAAUUCUUUUUAUUGUUGGCUCUACCUCUUCGCUUUUCAUUCUCUCGGAGUAUCUCAACAAUUCUUGAUGGUGUUCCUCGUCGUUAUUCUUGGAUUUUGAAGAUCAAAGAAGAGUUUUACCUCCAUAUCUUAUACGUUCUCACAGAGAUUCGUGGUUCUAGUUCGAGACCAUCCUCUCAUAAUUGUUUUUGAUUGUGAGAAGUCCUUUCACCUAUCUGGAAUCCAUCAAUUCAGGUUUAUUCAUUCUCGGCUUUCAGCUAUGGUUCUCCAAAUCUUACCGGUGCUUCGUUCAAGUAUCUCUAAUCAGUUCGUGAUCCCUUUGUUCUCAUGUAUCUAAAUCCUCUCAAGCAUCUUCGUUCAUUUUAUAAUUCUUCCCGAUGCUUCUUUAUUUUUUUUCUUCGUUCAUUUUCAAUUCUUACGGUGGUUCUUUCAAGAGUUCUUUUUCCUUCGUUUAUCAUAUUAAUUCAUUCGUUGUUCCAAUCCUAUCGGUGGUUCGUUGAAGACGUUCUCAAGUUUUGAUAUAUCUCUUUUAAUCCUUUCUACGAGAAUAAAUAGUAUGCCAAAUCCAUUGAUUAUCAUCAAUUUAAUUGAUGAAAGAUAAGCAUAAUGUAAUUCUUAUUCUUGUUUCAUCCAAGUGAUUAAUUCCUUAUUCCGAAGGUGCAUCAUAUCACAUUCUGGGUUCGAGAUGCUUUAUCUUUUCUUUUCUCGGAGUUCCUAACUCUCGCAAUUACAUCACCACGGAGAUUCAUUUAAAUCAUUGCAAGUCUUCACCUUGUGUUUCCAUCUUCUCUUGCCUUCCGUUUAGGCAUUUUUUUUGGUUUAACGGAGUUCUUCGGGAAGGUUCUACAUGUUGGUUCAUAAAGGAUUUAAUUUCUACUUGAAGUGUUCAUCAAGAUUCUUUUCUAAGAAACUCAAGCUUUUUUCAUAUUGUAAUCUGGAGUGCAUUCUUUCUAUCAUAUUAUUGGAGGUGGUAUUAUGUCAUUCUUGAUAAUUUGAGUUCAUGUUUCAUAAUUCACAUGUUGUCAAGGGUGAGAUAUUUUAAAUCCAUCAUUUUCUUCAUUGGAAUUAUCUUGGGUAUUUCACCUAAAGCUUUCCUUUAAGGAUUGUCGCUCUUAUGGUGUUUAUCAAUGAUCCAAUUUCUUCAUUUAUCCUUUCCGGUGCGAUAUACUUUCUCGUCUCCUUGUUCAUAUCAAUACAAUUCUUUUCCCGUGAGUGGCAGGUUGUCACCUCAUAAUUUGAGAUGUACUCCAUAAGAUCAUAUCAAGUUUAUUCUUUCAUUGUUGGCUUUCCAAAACUCCGUUUGACCCUUCUUCUUAAGAUGCCUUUUCAAACUCUUUUGUGGCAGAAGUUGGCAUUUUCUUCAACAUUCUAUUAUUUCAAUUAUCUAUCUUCUAUUUCUUUCUCUCGGAGGCAUUGUGUUGCUGCUCUCUUCAAACCUUCUUCUUGCUCUUGUCAAGAGCAUGUUUUUUUCGUGCUUAUUCAUUUAACCGGAGUGCUGUCUGAGAUCUUUCUUACCCCUUAUUACAUUCAUUCAAUAGUUACGGAGGUAGUGUAUUAUGAUUUCAUCAAGUAUCUUCUCAUCUUAUCAAGUUCUUAUUCAAUUUCUUUUCUUUUCAAUCGGAGUGCUGCCCGAAGUUGUUCUUCCUUGUUCCUCUUUUCUAACGGAAUGUUUUCAACUUAGUUCAUCUUCGUCGUAUUUUUUUCUCGAAAUAGCUUAACCUUUGCAAGAUUUUUUGGUUUCACUCAUUGGUCAAAGAAGCAACUUAGUUUUACCUCUUUUCUUUCUCUUUCGUUUUCCCCGGUGCCAUCCUAGAUCUCGGGACCAGAUCCUCUCGUAGUGGUGGAGUGUUGUAACACCCCGAGACCGAUGUGCCAGGUGUCCUCCAGUUAUUCGCCGGCGUUGCCAUGUCAUUUGCUUGCGUGUUGCUUUUCAUCAUGCCAUCAUGUGCAUUGCAUCAUCAUGUUUUUGAAACUUGCAUCCGUCCUGGCCUCCUCGUUCUCUCCUUUGUCCGUUCUGAGCCCAAACACACUUGCACGCGCCCGCAGCACGUCCAAAUAUUAUUUUUAUAGGUGGCCGGAUAAUGUUCUCGGAAUGGGAUGAGAGUUGGCCUGCGGUGUUGUUUUAUUGUUAGUAGACCGCCUGCCAAGUUUCAUCGCGUUCAGAGUCCGUUUGACGCCCUAACUAUAGCGACAUUAUAGUCGGUCAAAACGUUGGACGUUUUCGGUCUCCGGAAACAGUCGCCAGGCCUCUCCUCUUCUCUCUUCUCAGCCCUCUGCCUUCUGCACUAACUCUCACCGCCAGGCCCUACCUAACCUCUCUCGUCUGCCCGCGGACCUCCUCCCGCGCGCGUCCGAAAUCUGUACCGGACCCGACUCGGACAGUCGUUACCGCUGUGUCCGGAUCAUCCCCAAACAUCUCUAACAUAUCUUCGGUUAUUUGUUUGGUCCAUCUAACCUAUUUUAUCUCGAUCAUCCAAUUUUAAUCGGAUGAUCCAAACUCCCCUCUUCUCUCUAUAUAUAGUCCACCUACAUACCAAAUAUGGCUAAACCAAACCCUAGCCUAGCUCCUCCCCCUACCCCACAGCCGCCGCCACUCUCUCCUCGCAAUCCGCAUGCGCCCAGUCCCCU
This 8466-nucleotide long non-coding RNA is filed under the name Triticum aestivum (bread wheat). Its description in RNAcentral is "long non-coding RNA (TAES_LNC001268)". Lineage: Eukaryota; Viridiplantae; Streptophyta; Magnoliopsida; Poales; Poaceae. The record is from RNAcentral.